UCAGCUUUUCAAUCUGUAGCAAAGUAGUAAUGGCGAAGGAAAAUAUCAUCAAUGAAGAAGUUCAUGAAUUGGAGUCCGAUGAUUCCAACAAUUCUCAUACUUCAAAUGAUGAGGUUUACCCAAGAAAAAGACAAAAUUGUAGUCAUGACUUCGUAGAGUUUGGAUUUAAAAGAUGCAUGAGCAUAAAGGGAUUUAAAACAUACAAUAGCAGAAAGAACUAUUCUCCAGCCGGCCGUGCACUUCCCGAGCGCCCUAAAAGGAAACAUAAAUCGGACAACAGCUUUAUUGUCAAGAAAAUCAGAAGCACUCGGGCAAAACUGUGUCGUUUCCUUUUUAAUAUUUGUUCUUAAAUGACAUUUUCUCCCCUUCUUUCCUUAGUUCUUUCCAAGUUUACAGCAUUAUUAUAUGAUGUAGUUUAUUGUUGUAAAUUUAACUUAAUAUAUUCUUCUUUUUUAGCCA
Long non-coding RNA from Cucumis sativus (cucumber), 459 nucleotides. RefSeq lists it as uncharacterized. The transcript has 2 exons. The record is from RefSeq and is a predicted model, not a curated record. Lineage: Eukaryota; Viridiplantae; Streptophyta; Magnoliopsida; Cucurbitales; Cucurbitaceae.